Lynx canadensis (Canada lynx) is the source of this 385-nucleotide long non-coding RNA. RefSeq lists it as uncharacterized. NCBI's taxonomy places the organism in Eukaryota, Metazoa, Chordata, Mammalia, Carnivora, Felidae. The record is from RefSeq and is a predicted model, not a curated record. The transcript has 2 exons.
AGUGAGAAGUGACAGAGGAAACCGAAAAGGAAUGUAUUCAUUCCACCAACAGUUAUGUAUAAAUACAUUCAUCUAAGGAAGAAGGCUGACUGAAGCAUCCCCCUGCUUUGGGAGGAUGAAGGAAGGGGAAGAAUAUUUCAAUGUGGGUUGCAGUGUCUUAAGAAAUCCACAGUGCCUCGAAGAAUGUAGACAUCGCAAACAAAAGAACUGAAGAUUAAAAAAGUGCACAGAGCUGGACUUGGGGGGUGGGGGAUGCGGAUGGAAAGCUUUUGCUUGCCUCCUUGCAACUUUGUUUCACUGGAAUAGAACUCAAGAUUCUCUGCGCAAUUUCAAGGCGUCAGCCUGACAGUUUCCGAAGGUCUUAUUCCCCCUCCCCCUUCCCCAC